This is a long non-coding RNA of Syzygium oleosum, 620 nucleotides long. RefSeq lists it as uncharacterized. The transcript has 2 exons. The record is from RefSeq and is a predicted model, not a curated record. NCBI's taxonomy places the organism in Eukaryota, Viridiplantae, Streptophyta, Magnoliopsida, Myrtales, Myrtaceae.
GCAUGUUGCGUUGCGGAACCAAAUCAAAGGUUAAGCGUGUGCGAGAGAUCUGUGUAGACUCCGUGUCAGCCCGUGGACCCAGGGUUCAACGACCUGGUGUCGGAAGGACACAGGUUGCGAUCGAUAUUCAAGAUGCAGGUCAAGACCAGAUCUCUGGUAUUUGAGAAGGUGCGAAAGACCAUUUGCAAUAGUAGUGCAGAAACCAUAUGAAGUUCAGAUGGGUCCUAACCAACUGUGCACUUUCUUGACGUUGCUGUGACGACCUUAUCCAUUUUCUAAGUAUGUCUUGAGCGAAGCCAAGAAAGUGUUGACACAAAACUUGACCAAUUUUGGUAAUUAUUGACAAGUACCAAAUGAGUCGAUAGAUACAGUUUGGUUAGAAAAAUCAACAACUUGAAGAGAAUUGACAACACUCCAAUAAAGUUAUCGACAACCAACCUUCACCUGGGAUGAAGUUGUCGACACUGGCAUGUAACUGCCAAGUAGAGAUAUUUUCGGAUAUGUAACUUCCUAUAGAUAAGUGUUGCUUAGUAAUGGGAUAUCGCAAAGCAGCUUUUUGUAACCAUGGAUAGGUUAAAGAAAUUAUUUAUUUUUUCAAAUUGAGUAACCAUUGUAUGUAA